AUUAAACGCUGGCGGCAUGCCUUACACAUGCAAGUCGAACGGCAGCACGGGGGCAACCCUGGUGGCGAGUGGCGGACGGGUGAGUAAUGCAUCGGAACGUGCCCUGAAGUGGGGGAUAACGCAGCGAAAGCUACGCUAAUACCGCAUAUUCUGUGAGCAGGAAAGCAGGGGAUCGCAAGACCUUGCGCUUUGGGAGCGGCCGAUGUCGGAUUAGCUAGUUGGUGGGGUAAAGGCCUACCAAGGCGACGAUCCGUAGCGGGUCUGAGAGGAUGAUCCGCCACACUGGGACUGAGACACGGCCCAGACUCCUACGGGAGGCAGCAGUGGGGAAUUUUGGACAAUGGGCGGAAGCCUGAUCCAGCCAUGCCGCGUGAGUGAAGAAGGCCUCGGUGUAAGAUCUUCGUCGGGAGGAAGUAG
Molecule: ribosomal RNA, 417 nt
Filed under: uncultured bacterium
Lineage: Bacteria
Description: bacterial SSU rRNA
Rfam family: Bacterial small subunit ribosomal RNA
Source: RNAcentral